RNAcentral lists this long non-coding RNA (411 nucleotides) under Equus caballus (horse). RNAcentral's name for it is "lncRNA (ENSECAG00000035801.3)". The record is from RNAcentral. Lineage: Eukaryota; Metazoa; Chordata; Mammalia; Perissodactyla; Equidae.
UGAAAGGGUCAAUGAAGGAUGUCAGCAGUUUGGGUGGCCUGUCUGAGCGCCCACUUUGGAAGCCCGAGCAGGACACCUAGAUGGCUUAUGAUGCCCCCCAGUACAAAGCUGUAUAUUCUAGUUGUAGGUUCCUCUGCUUGUGCUACAUGGGACGCCACCUCAACAUGGCUUGAUGAGCAGUGCCCUGUCCACACCCAAGAUCUGAACCAACAAAACCCUGGGCCGCCGAAGCAGAGCACGCGAACUUAACCACUCGGCCACUGGGCCGGCCCCCCAUAAUAACAAUUUUUAACUGACCUCUGAAUUUCUCCUGAAUAAAGCAGCCUCUCUCUCUUGCGGCUCCACAUCCCCACAAUGACUGCUUUCUUCUCCAUCCCUGUCCGCUCCAAGAAAAGCUAUAAGAAAUGUCCA